Ananas comosus (pineapple) is the source of this 837-nucleotide long non-coding RNA. RefSeq lists it as uncharacterized. The record is from RefSeq and is a predicted model, not a curated record. Lineage: Eukaryota; Viridiplantae; Streptophyta; Magnoliopsida; Poales; Bromeliaceae. The transcript is spliced from 2 exons.
UUAUACAUCUUAUAUCUCUCUCUAAAAGAUUAGAUUCAAAAGAGUUUAAAGAGAACUAAUUAAAGAUGCAUUUAACUCCCAUCCUAAGGGCCCUCCUCCUCAUGGCCAUUGUUGCAACACUCUUUUGUGCUCAUUUCGACUUGGUACUUGGAGAUGGGCCAGCAGGGAGGAGACUUUUGGGAAGGGGUGGCUACAAUGGGCCGGGGAAAGAUGCUGUUAACAGUUCCCCUCUGGGAAAUAAAUAAACAAUUUUAAAGCUUAUAUAUAUAAGGGGUGUAAAUUUCAAUUUGCACUUAUGUGGUUUAGAGCAUUUUUAUUUUGCCAUCCUAUAUUUUAAAAAGUUGCAUGCUAUUACCUGCGGUUUAUUUUCAUUUCACUGUAAGUAUCUACAUUAAAUAUGGUAGUAACUAAAGUGACAUUUUUUAUAAAUCAUAUGAUGGUAUACUAUAUAUAUAUAUAAUACUUUACCAUCCUAUGAUUUAUAAAAAAAUAUAAUCACUUAAUUUAUCAUGUUUAAUGCUAUGUCCUUAUGGUGAAACAAAAGUUAAAAUACAGAAUAUUUAAGUGCAACUUUUUGAACCACAAGGCGGUGAAAUAAAAAAUACGCUAAACCAUAUUGGGGCAGAUUGAAGUUUACACAACAAUAAAUAAAACGGAUACUACUAAUAUAAAAUUUGCGUAAGUUUGUAUUUGCAGUGUGUGGAUUUGGACAUUGAUAUGUUGAUACCUGACAUACAUAUAUGUCCAUAUCAUCUCAAAUAUCUCAGAUAUUAUUGUGUGUUAAUUAGAAUGAAUGUAUCAGUGACAUAAAUAUAUAAUAAAUUGAGGUUUGCUUAA